AUAAUUCAAUUCGAUUCAAUAAUUCAUUCAAAUAAAUUAAACAUUUUCUGGCAAUUAGAGUCCAGUAAUUAAUAUUUUGCCAGAACUAGUAAAUUAAACGUUAUUUUUAGUUGUCUAUUUAGAAUCGUGGGAGAAUUGUGAUCUCUAUUUGAAACCAAAAAAUCAUGAAUCUCAUUUUAUCCAGAAUCCUGCAGCUCUAGUAUAUGUCUAGUACAAAAUGUGUAGUUGUAUGAAUGUCCAGUUGUGUUGUUUGAGAAUUGCUUUGAUUUGUGCAAGGGUAAUCACCUUUAAAGGAUUAGUUUACCCAAAAAUGAAAAUUCUGUCAUUAAUUACUCACCCUCAUGUUGUUCCACAUCCGUAAGACCUUUGUUCAUCUUCAGAACACAAAUUAAGAUAUUUUUGAUGAAGUUCAUAAAAUUGAGGUUAAACCACUGGAAUCACAUGGAAUACUUCAAUGAUGUCAUUCCUACCUUUCUGUGCCUUGGAGUGGUAGUUGUGUUGGAUCUCAUUGGAGGGACAGAAACCUCUCAGACCUCAUCAAAAAGAUCUUAAUUUGUUUUGAGUUCAGAAAAAGCAUACGCAUAAAAUACAAAGUAUAGUUUGGGCUUUACACACAGUAAUGAAUGUUUAAAAAACAAAACAAAAAAAGUAUUGGGUAAAAUCAUCCCCCAUGUUAUGUUAACCUAAUGAUGUUAUUUUGUUGAAAGGCCUACUGUUGGAAGCAGCUAUUCUGCUCUUGCCUGCACUGUUCAAGGUGGACCUGGGGUUGCUGUUUGACAUUGAGGGCCAUGCUCAGACCAGCCGUCCUGUCAUCCCAACACCUAAGAUAAAGGCUGCAAAGAGGAUCAUCCCAUGCAGUAUGACCACAUUGGGUUCAGAUUGGAUGGCCAGUUAAUCACAGUGGAGAGUGAGGACAUCUUGAUGGCAUUGGGCCUCCUUCUGUGUGUAUAUUUUGCGUUUGGAAUCGAAUCGAAUCCAGUAUCCUAAAGGACUGAAAAAGACACUGACCUUUUUAAAGUGUUGUUUUGAAAUUGAAGGAUGCAUUCGGACUUCCUGUUACUGUAAAAUGAGUGUACAACUCAAUCUGUGAGUAGACUUUCGGAGUCAAUAUUCUCUCUUGCUCCCUUUCGUACGGUUUUAGUUCCAGUUUCUAUAUUGUUUUUGAAAUCCUGAAGGACUUACAAAAAUGUUAGUGCGCUGUUGACAGUGAAAGAUACUGCAGGACUUCAGAGCAUAACUCAGUAUGCAAAAACAGGACUAUUGUCUACAAAAAUGUACAUGUUUCAAGCUUGUUGGAUUAUUUUGUAUGUGUAUAAAAGGGGAGUAUAAUGUGAUGUUGUACAUGUGUAUUCCCUGACUUGUCAGCACUGAGUUUAUUUGCUGCUGAAAGAAAUAAA
Molecule: long non-coding RNA, 1397 nt
Organism: Megalobrama amblycephala (Wuchang bream)
Lineage: Eukaryota; Metazoa; Chordata; Actinopteri; Cypriniformes; Xenocyprididae
Exons: 2
Source: RefSeq, a predicted model, not a curated record